GCCAAGUGCGGGGCUGGAACCCAUGAACCCAGAGAUCAUGACCUGAGCUGAAGUUGGACACUGCACUUACGCAGUGAAGACCAUUCUGAGGGACGGCCAAGAACAUGGCCUGAAGGUGAAGGAGGAGGCACGGCGCAGGAUAGACAGCGUUCAAGGGGAGGUGUGUCGCCUGAGGUCCGUGCUCAGGACCUGGGCUGGUACCUUCCUGGUCAUGUGGGGGUGUUGCUCUCCUUGGUCCAUGUCCAUUUGUAGGGGACAGAAACUGGAGAGUCUUGACAGCCUCCAGAUCAGGUCUCUGAGUGCUCCCUUGGUUGAUCUGGGAGGGAAUUUGUCUUAGAUUCUGUGCGGGCUUAUGGCGAGUCUGGAUGGGCAUCUGGUCAGAUCUCUUGCCUGAUGCCUCGAGGCUGAGCUUAGGGUCCUGGUCCAAUGUACAUGCAGGGGGCCGUGUGUUCAGUGUUGAGGUCAUGUUAUGACACUUGAUUUGUGGCUGAUGGGUUAGGACCGGCUCAGGCCAUGUGGCUUAGAGCCAGCAGGGGAACGUCACGGGAGCAAACUUAGGGCCUGUUGUCUGUCAGCAUGAUGACGAGGGCAGGAUCCCGGCCAGAGUGCUUGGAUGCUGGCAAGAGGGCUGCCGGUGACAGCCGCUUCCUGUCUUGUCUUCUGUCCAUGAAGUGAGGUGAAGCUCAGUUCAGGUCUUUUGAUGGGAGACCCUGUAGGGCAGAUGGGUCUCAUACCAGGUUUCUUUUCCAGCCGCUGACAUGUGAGAAUCGGGCCCAGGGUAGAUGCCCCCUUGAUCGCGUAGACAAGCGCAGGCCUGUUUGGAUGCCGUUGGAGAAGACACCACACAUACACAGCGUAUUUUACUUUUACAAAGUCUUGACCUCCAACAUAGGGCUUGAACUCACAACACCGACAUCAAGAGUUGCAUGCUCCGGUGACUCGGCCAGCAAGGCGACGCUCUGAGAUCUUCUAAAAGGGGGACACUGGCAUCGCUGUUGUUUUAUAUAGAGAUGGUGUCUAUCCCUUUCCUUAGGCGGAUAGAAUUGGGACACACCACCUUUUUCCCAUUCAGAAACUGGAAUGCACUCUGUGUGGCCGCUUUGAUUGGAGUGAAUCUGACCUUCAUGCCUUCAGGUUCAUUCUUCUAAAAUCACUGCAGAUGUCCUCCUGCUGUUCGAGGUAAUCCCCCCAAACCAUGGGAUUGUAUUACAGCACCUCUCUCGCCAGUCCCCACCUAACAGCCUUGAGAGGAAAGCAGCCCUGUUUGGGGGACUUGCUGAUUUGAAGCUGCCGUGUCAGUCUGUGUACCCACCCGCUUGUUUUUCGUCCCUCGUGAUGGCUUUCUCCCGGAGAUUGUCAGUGUCCAUACUAAGCAGUUUCUUGGGUGUAGAAAUGUCUAGUGAUGUCACCUGCCCUAGUGAGGGCUUCUACCCGGGUGGAGUCUCAGUUCAGGUAGUCCUUUAUGGUCCCACAGCUCUUUAAACUUUACCAAAUACAACUAUUAAGUGAAUAUUUAAUCUCUACUCUAAUCCCACCUCCACUCCCCACACAGUAGCUGGAAGCCAAAGCCCCAAUAUCUUGUGUGUGCAAAAGUCCAACUCAUUUCUACUAGCCCCGAAAUGCUCCGUCUUUCUUCUGGGAUUUCUUCCAGUACUACCCAACCUCCACCCCCCACCACUUUUCCAUUGCCUCACUAGAAAAUCCCGUGUGGAUGUGGCAGUCAUCUCACUGGAUUUCCCUAGUCUCAUGGAUUGUACCUCAAAAACUGGAAGUUAAAUAGGUUACACGACAACGUCUUCAGAGAUCUGUAUAUUUUACCCAGGUUUUGAUGUUGCCUUUUAUGGGUAAGACCAAUAAAAUCUACUCAGUCAUGGCAGAAAC
Long non-coding RNA from Suricata suricatta (meerkat), 1881 nucleotides. RefSeq lists it as uncharacterized. NCBI's taxonomy places the organism in Eukaryota, Metazoa, Chordata, Mammalia, Carnivora, Herpestidae. The record is from RefSeq and is a predicted model, not a curated record. The transcript has 2 exons.